This 536-nucleotide ribosomal RNA is filed under the name uncultured delta proteobacterium. RNAcentral describes it as "bacterial SSU rRNA". The stretch from base 1 to 405 matches the Rfam family "Bacterial small subunit ribosomal RNA", at positions 1130 to 1533 of the family's 1533-position model. The record is from RNAcentral. Lineage: Bacteria; Deltaproteobacteria.
GGCGGGAACUCUAGAGAGACUGCCCGGGUUAACCGGGAGGAAGGGGGGGAUGACGUCAAGUCCUCAUGGCCCUUAUAUCCAGGGCUACACACGUGCUACAAUGGUAAAUACAGAGGGCAGCGAGCCGGUGACGGCGAGCGAAUCCCUAAAGUUUAUCUCAGUCCGGAUUGGAGUCUGCAACUCGACUCCAUGAAGUUGGAAUCGCUAGUAAUCGCGGAUCAGCAUGCCGCGGUGAAUAUGUUCCCGGGCCUUGUACACACCGCCCGUCACACCAUGGGAGUUGAUUAUACCCGACGUCGCUGGGCUAACCCUUCGGGGGGGCAGGCGCCUAAGGUAUGGUUGAUAACUGGGGUGAAGUCGUAACAAGGUAGCCGUUGAGGAAUCAGCGGCUGGAUCACCUCCUUUCUAAGGAAAGUAUACAGUAGUACCAAGCGCUCAGCUUUAAUUCACUGGCCAAUUUUGAGAGAUCAAAUCUCUUAACGCUCUUUGACAAUUUGUUGUAGUAGAUAAAAUAUCAAUUGCGAGUUCCCGCAAGG